Molecule: ribosomal RNA, 159 nt
Filed under: Ascaris ovis
Lineage: Eukaryota; Metazoa; Nematoda; Chromadorea; Rhabditida; Ascarididae
Description: 5.8S ribosomal RNA
Rfam family: 5.8S ribosomal RNA
About the family: 5.8S ribosomal RNA (5.8S rRNA) is a component of the large subunit of the eukaryotic ribosome. It is transcribed by RNA polymerase I as part of the 45S precursor that also contains 18S and 28S rRNA. Functionally, it is thought that 5.8S rRNA may be involved in ribosome translocation.
Source: RNAcentral
CAAAUCUUAGCGGUGGAUCACUCGGUUCGUGGAUCGAUGAAGAACGCAGCUAGCUGCGAUAAAUAGUGCGAAUUGCAGACACAUUGAGCACUAAAAAUUCGAACGCACAUUGCGCCAUCGGGUUCAUUCCCGUUGGCACGUCUGGCUGAGGGUCGAAUU